GGCAGACGGGUGAGUAACACGUGGGUGACUUGCCCCUCAGACUGGGAUAACGAGUGGAAACACUGGCUAAUACCGGAUGACCUUAUGACGUCAAAGACAUAAGGAAAGGUUACGACCGCUGAGGGAGAGGCUCGCGGCCCAUCAGCUAGUUGGUGAGGUAACGGCUCACCAAGGCAAAGACGGGUAGGGGGUGUGAGAGCACGGCCCCCCACAAUGGGACUGAGACACGGCCCAUACUCUUACGGGAGGCAGCAGCAGGGAAUAUUGCACAAUGGACGGAAGUCUGAUGCAGCGACGCCGCGUGGAUGAAGAAGGCCUUCGGGUUGUAAAAUCCUUUUAGUGGGGAAGAGGAAGGACGGUACCCACAGAAUAAGCGUCGGCUAACUACGUGCCAGCAGCCGCGGUAAGACGUAGGACGCAAGCGUUAUCCGGAUUUACUGGGCGUAAAGCGUCUGUAGGCGGAGGGAUAAGUUGGGCGUGAAAGCUCCAGGCUCAACCUGGAGAGUGCGUUCAAUACUGUCUGUCUAGAGGAGGUCAGAGGGGAGCGGAAUUUC
Molecule: ribosomal RNA, 554 nt
Filed under: uncultured Bacillota bacterium
Lineage: Bacteria; Bacillati; Bacillota
Description: bacterial SSU rRNA
Rfam family: Bacterial small subunit ribosomal RNA
Source: RNAcentral